GACGAACGCUGGCGGCGUGCUUAACACAUGCAAGUCGAACGGAAAGGCCCUGCUUUUGUGGGGUGCUCGAGUGGCGAACGGGUGAGUAACACGUGAGUAACCUGCCCUUGACUUUGGGAUAACUUCAGGAAACUGGGGCUAAUACCGGAUAGGAGCUCCUGCUGCAUGGUGGGGGUUGGAAAGUUUCGGCGGUUGGGGAUGGACUCGCGGCUUAUCAGCCUGUUGGCGGGGUAGUGGCUUACCAAGGCUUUGACGGGUAGCCGGCCUGAGAGGGUGACCGGCCACAUUGGGACUGAGAUACGGCCCAGACUCCUACGGGAGGCAGCAGUGGGGAAUAUUGCACAAUGGGCGGAAGCCUGAUGCAGCAACGCCGCGUGCGGGAUGACGGCCUUCGGGUUGUAACCGCUUUCGCCUGUGACGAAGCGUGAGUGACGGUAAUGGGUAAAGAAGCACCGGCUAACUACGUG
This 467-nucleotide ribosomal RNA is filed under the name uncultured bacterium. RNAcentral's name for it is "partial 16S ribosomal RNA". It matches the Rfam family "Bacterial small subunit ribosomal RNA", at positions 28 to 507 of the family's 1533-position model. The record is from RNAcentral.